This is a transfer RNA of Camelus ferus (Wild Bactrian camel), 72 nucleotides long. It matches the Rfam family "tRNA". Rfam says of the family: Transfer RNA (tRNA) molecules are approximately 80 nucleotides in length. Their secondary structure includes four short double-helical elements and three loops (D, anti-codon, and T loops). Further hydrogen bonds mediate the characteristic L-shaped molecular structure. tRNAs have two regions of fundamental functional importance: the anti-codon, which is responsible for specific mRNA codon recognition, and the 3' end, to which the tRNAs corresponding amino acid is attached (by aminoacyl-tRNA synthetases). tRNAs cope with the degeneracy of the genetic code in two manners: having more than one tRNA (with a specific anti-codon) for a particular amino acid; and 'wobble' base-pairing, i.e. permitting non-standard base-pairing at the 3rd anti-codon position. The record is from Rfam. Lineage: Eukaryota; Metazoa; Chordata; Mammalia; Artiodactyla; Camelidae.
GAGGGUAUAGCUCAGGGGUGGAGCCCAUGCUUAGCAUGCAUGAGGUCCUGGGUUCAAUCCCCAGCACCUCCA